Molecule: ribosomal RNA, 466 nt
Filed under: uncultured bacterium
Lineage: Bacteria
Description: partial 16S ribosomal RNA
Rfam family: Bacterial small subunit ribosomal RNA
Source: RNAcentral
GAUGAACGCUGGCGGCGUGCUUAACACAUGCAAGUCGAACGAUCAAGCCCAGCUUGCUGGGUGGAUUAGUGGCGAACGGGUGAGUAACACGUGAGUAACCUGCCCUUCACUCUGGGAUAAGCCUGGGAAACUGGGUCUAAUACCGGAUAGGAGCGUCCACCGCAUGGUGGGUGUUGGAAAGAUUUAUCGGUUUUGGAUGGACUCGCGGCCUAUCAGCUUGUUGGUGAGGUAAUGGCUCACCAAGGCGACGACGGGUAGCCGGCCUGAGAGGGUGACCGGCCACACUGGGACUGAGACACGGCCCAGACUCCUACGGGAGGCAGCAGUGGGGAAUAUUGCACAAUGGGCGCAAGCCUGAUGCAGCGACGCCGCGUGAGGGAUGACGGCCUUCGGGUUGUAAACCUCUUUCAGUAGGGAAGAAGCGAAAGUGACGGUACCUGCAGAAGAAGCACCGGCUAACUACGUG